Molecule: ribosomal RNA, 2923 nt
Filed under: Klebsiella pneumoniae
Lineage: Bacteria; Pseudomonadati; Pseudomonadota; Gammaproteobacteria; Enterobacterales; Enterobacteriaceae
Also listed under: 3 other names
Description: bacterial LSU rRNA
Rfam family: Bacterial large subunit ribosomal RNA
Source: RNAcentral
GGGUUGUGAGGUUAAGCGACUAAGCGUACACGGUGGAUGCCCUGGCAGUCAGAGGCGAUGAAGGACGUGCUAAUCUGCGAAAAGCGUCGGUAAGGUGAUAUGAACCGUUACAGCCGGCGAUGUCCGAAUGGGGAAACCCAGUGCAAUUCGUUGCACUAUCGUUAACUGAAUACAUAGGUUAACGAGGCGAACCGGGGGAACUGAAACAUCUAAGUACCCCGAGGAAAAGAAAUCAACCGAGAUUCCCCCAGUAGCGGCGAGCGAACGGGGAGCAGCCCAGAGUCUGAAUCAGCUUGUGUGUUAGUGGAACGGUCUGGAAAGUCCGACGGUACAGGGUGAUAGUCCCGUACACCAAAAUGCACAGGUUGUGAACUCGAAGAGUAGGGCGGGACACGUGGUAUCCUGUCUGAAUAUGGGGGGACCAUCCUCCAAGGCUAAAUACUCCUGACUGACCGAUAGUGAACCAGUACCGUGAGGGAAAGGCGAAAAGAACCCCGGCGAGGGGAGUGAAAAAGAACCUGAAACCGUGUACGUACAAGCAGUGGGAGCACCUUCGGGUGUGACUGCGUACCUUUUGUAUAAUGGGUCAGCGACUUAUAUUCUGUAGCAAGGUUAACCGUAUAGGGGAGCCGCAGGGAAACCGAGUCUUAACUGGGCGUUAAGUUGCAGGGUAUAGACCCGAAACCCGGUGAUCUAGCCAUGGGCAGGUUGAAGGUUGGGUAACACUAACUGGAGGACCGAACCGACUAAUGUUGAAAAAUUAGCGGAUGACUUGUGGCUGGGGGUGAAAGGCCAAUCAAACCGGGAGAUAGCUGGUUCUCCCCGAAAGCUAUUUAGGUAGCGCCUCGUGAACUCAUCUUCGGGGGUAGAGCACUGUUUCGGCUAGGGGGUCAUCCCGACUUACCAACCCGAUGCAAACUACGAAUACCGAAGAAUGUUAUCACGGGAGACACACGGCGGGUGCUAACGUCCGUCGUGAAGAGGGAAACAACCCAGACCGCCAGCUAAGGUCCCAAAGUCAUGGUUAAGUGGGAAACGAUGUGGGAAGGCACAGACAGCCAGGAUGUUGGCUUAGAAGCAGCCAUCAUUUAAAGAAAGCGUAAUAGCUCACUGGUCGAGUCGGCCUGCGCGGAAGAUGUAACGGGGCUAAACCAUGCACCGAAGCUGCGGCAGCGACACUAUGUGUUGUUGGGUAGGGGAGCGUUCUGUAAGCCUGCGAAGGUGUGCUGUGAGGCAUGCUGGAGGUAUCAGAAGUGCGAAUGCUGACAUAAGUAACGAUAAAGCGGGUGAAAAGCCCGCUCGCCGGAAGACCAAGGGUUCCUGUCCAACGUUAAUCGGGGCAGGGUGAGUCGACCCCUAAGGCGAGGCCGAAAGGCGUAGUCGAUGGGAAACAGGUUAAUAUUCCUGUACUUGGUGUUACUGCGAAGGGGGGACGGAGAAGGCUAUGUUAGCCGGGCGACGGUUGUCCCGGUUUAAGCAUGUAGGCUGAUUGUCCAGGCAAAUCCGGAUAAUCAAGGCUGAGGUGUGAUGACGAGGCACUACGGUGCUGAAGUAACAAAUGCCCUGCUUCCAGGAAAAGCCUCUAAGCAUCAGGUAACAUUAAAUCGUACCCCAAACCGACACAGGUGGUCAGGUAGAGAAUACCAAGGCGCUUGAGAGAACUCGGGUGAAGGAACUAGGCAAAAUGGUGCCGUAACUUCGGGAGAAGGCACGCUGGUGUGUAGGUGAAGUCCCUGCGGAUGGAGCUGAGACCAGUCGAAGAUACCAGCUGGCUGCAACUGUUUAUUAAAAACACAGCACUGUGCAAACACGAAAGUGGACGUAUACGGUGUGACGCCUGCCCGGUGCCGGAAGGUUAAUUGAUGGGGUUAUCCGUAAGGAGAAGCUCUUGAUCGAAGCCCCGGUAAACGGCGGCCGUAACUAUAACGGUCCUAAGGUAGCGAAAUUCCUUGUCGGGUAAGUUCCGACCUGCACGAAUGGCGUAAUGAUGGCCAGGCUGUCUCCACCCGAGACUCAGUGAAAUUGAACUCGCUGUGAAGAUGCAGUGUACCCGCGGCAAGACGGAAAGACCCCGUGAACCUUUACUAUAGCUUGACACUGAACAUUGAGCCUUGAUGUGUAGGAUAGGUGGGAGGCUUUGAAGCGUGGACGCCAGUCUGCGUGGAGCCAACCUUGAAAUACCACCCUUUAAUGUUUGAUGUUCUAACGUUGGCCCCUGACCGGGGUUGCGGACAGUGUCUGGUGGGUAGUUUGACUGGGGCGGUCUCCUCCCAAAGCGUAACGGAGGAGCACGAAGGUUAGCUAAUCCUGGUCGGACAUCAGGAGGUUAGUGCAAUGGCAUAAGCUAGCUUGACUGCGAGCGUGACGGCGCGAGCAGGUGCGAAAGCAGGUCAUAGUGAUCCGGUGGUUCUGAAUGGAAGGGCCAUCGCUCAACGGAUAAAAGGUACUCCGGGGAUAACAGGCUGAUACCGCCCAAGAGUUCAUAUCGACGGCGGUGUUUGGCACCUCGAUGUCGGCUCAUCACAUCCUGGGGCUGAAGUAGGUCCCAAGGGUAUGGCUGUUCGCCAUUUAAAGUGGUACGCGAGCUGGGUUUAGAACGUCGUGAGACAGUUCGGUCCCUAUCUGCCGUGGGCGCUGGAGAAUUGAGGGGGGCUGCUCCUAGUACGAGAGGACCGGAGUGGACGCAUCACUGGUGUUCGGGUUGUCAUGCCAAUGGCACUGCCCGGUAGCUAAAUGCGGAAGAGAUAAGUGCUGAAAGCAUCUAAGCACGAAACUUGCCCCGAGAUGAGUUCUCCCUGAGACUAUAAGUCUCCUGAAGGAACGUUAAAGACGAUGACGUUGAUAGGCCGGGUGUGUAAGCGCAGCGAUGCGUUGAGCUAACCGGUACUAAUGAACCGUGAGGCUUAACCUUACAACGCCGAAG